Molecule: long non-coding RNA, 2281 nt
Organism: Cygnus olor (mute swan)
Lineage: Eukaryota; Metazoa; Chordata; Aves; Anseriformes; Anatidae
Exons: 3
Source: RefSeq, a predicted model, not a curated record
AGCUGCCGCAGCGCGCCCUGCCCACCUCCCCCCUCAGUCCUGACAGGGCUCGGGGUCGGCCCUGGGGAGGGGUUAGUCCUGGAGGCUGGGCGGGGGGGAACUGCCCCUGUUGUUCAGGGCCCCCAAAUGGACGCUGCAGCGAAAGCUGAGCCCUUCCCGGCCUUCGUGUUGUCUGCUGCUCGACCCCAUGUGCCGCUUCCCCGUGGGCUUGUACCAAACAGGGACUUUGAUGUUUUGCAGUUCCUUAUGGGGAACAGCGCGUUAAUUUGGGUCUCCAAGAACUCCAGUAAUGUAAACGAUUGAGGGUGGAACAGCAGUUUAGGUACCAGAUUUUUGAUAAAUGGAUCUUCUGGAAUGGUUGAUACGCUUAUCAGCAUCAACAUACUACUCCGUGAUGGGAUUUCAGUUUGGCUUUCCAGGUUACAUUAAAAAUAAUAAUCCAGGCAACUAGUUUAUAUUUAAACAAAAAAAACAAAGCAAUUUCAAACUCCUUUCCCAACCUCACAAACCCAGAUAUGACACACAGAAGCUAUGCAUUAAAAGAAGGACAGAGCGUUAAAACCAUUUGCACACUUGUGCUCAAGUCUUUGUAUAUGAACAUCAUCAUUCAGUUUUCUAUGACGUGACUGUAGAGCCCAAAAGAUUUUGGUUGCAGGAGGCGAUACAGCUCUAGGGACUGGGCUUGUGUCAGGAGGGAGCUACCUGCUUUGUUUUGUUGCAGGAAUUGCGAGAUGGGUGUGGUGGGAGUCCUCUGGAGGAGAAGAGAUGAGCCCGUUCCUUGUCUCGUUGCACAGCACCAUUGCCAUCACCCCCAGAGGUCACCCAACGCAGGCAGCCUUGCCCUUGUCCCAGUUCCUGGUUUUAAUAUGGACAGAGGCCUGGGCAGCUCACAGUUCUUACAGCUGCCCCAAAAUCUGGGGAGCGAUGCUCUGAACCCCAUGAAAGUGCUGAACACUGGACCUGCUGGCUUUUUGCAUGUGUGCAAGGAUCUUGGAGGCCGUUGACCUUUGUCUUGCUGUGCCCCCAUGUCCCAGCUGUAAAAUGGAGGAGAUAAAAUGGCUUUGUCAGAGGGGAGUGGGAGUGUUUGCAAACAGCAAAUACCUUUUUAUUUUUUCCUCCUCCUUUUCCUUCUUUUUAUUUUUUUUAAGGGGUCACGUGGCAGUGUGCUAAGCACUGUGAAAACUGGGAUGACACAAAGAACUUUGCAUUCAGAGCAAAAUCCAGAGGGUGUUACGAGACAGCCAGUAAUGACAAUAAAGCCAAUUAUUAACUGGCUUCCUUUCAGUCAGCGGGAGCCUGUAUUUGUCAUUUAUAUUGGGGCAGAGGGAAGAUGCAGCUUGUGAACAAAUGUUGGGAGAGUUUAAAUGGGUGAAAUUUUAAAUGAGACUCCUUGUAAUAUUAACAGAAUGUAAGACUUGUAUCUGUUAAAAGCAAAUUUAAAAAUGAAGCCCCUUUCCUGCCCUUUAACUUAAAAUCUUACGAUUAUCUUAAACCCAAAAUGUGGCUUCAUUGUUCAUUUCCUUUUUACCAGAAUGUAAAAUAACAAGAGCUCGAGGCUUUAGGGUAUUUCAAAAAGUAAUCCUUUUUCAUUAUAACUUCUGGUAGUGUUUUAAUUAAAGGUAUUAGAAGAACUGUCAUGUGUGACACAGUUUAAAAUGCAUGUAUAGUGUGCUAGGAAUAGCUAGAAAGGGGAUUAUGUGCAUAACUUGUUCACUUGCAGUGAAGUAGGCUAGCUUCUGUUAUUUUUCACUGUUUAUCACCUGCAAUUUGAUCCUAUAUUUUUACAUGGCAAAGAGAGAGAAUGCUUUUGUGGAUGUUCUUUGCUGUUCCUCGUAUAUUUAGCAAAUUCAAGCUGUUUUAGGAAUGUUUGCUUCAUACUGAAAGAAAUGAACCUCGUUAAAGAAAGCUACAUAAGAUUUUGAUCCACAAUUAAAGAGAAGACCCAGGAUAUUUAUUUGGUUUUGUGAGAGGUUUUUAUUUCUUACUGAUUUGCCCCAGUGCCUUUUCCCAGCUCCCUCCAAAGUGUGCCAUCACAGCAUGUUUCGGCCCGUAUUUCUAUAGUGAAAUUUUCACUAUAGCCUUUUUCAGAGAAGGGCACACAGACUAACUCUGACGAGUGGUGCUGAGCUGAAGAAAUUGUAUGGUUUUAUCUGGCUGGCUUUGAGGCUCACACUGCACUGGCAGAGUGGCGAGAUGCAACCCUUCUGCAAACUUCAUGGCUGGAAGAUGGCGGUCCAACAGAAUCCUUAGUGAGCUCUGGGUGAUCUGGCGAUCGAAGUUU